GAUGAACGCUGGCGGCGUGCCUAAUACAUGCAAGUCGAGCGAACGGACGAGAAGCUUGCUUCUCUGAUGUUAGCGGCGGACGGGUGAGUAACACGUGGAUAACCUACCUAUAAGACUGGGAUAACUUCGGGAAACCGGAGCUAAUACCGGAUAAUAUUUUGAACUGCAUGGUUCAAAAGUGAAAGACGGUCUUGCUGUCACUUAUAGAUGGAUCCGCGCUGCAUUAGCUAGUUGGUAAGGUAACGGCUUACCAAGGCAACGAUGCAUAGCCGACCUGAGAGGGUGAUCGGCCACACUGGAACUGAGACACGGUCCAGACUCCUACGGGAGGCAGCAGUAGGGAAUCUUCCGCAAUGGGCGAAAGCCUGACGGAGCAACGCCGCGUGGGUGAUGAAGGUCUUCGGAUCGUAAAACUCUGUUAUUAGGGAAGAACAUAUGUGUAAGUAACUGUGCACAUCUUGACGGUACCUAAUCAGAAAGCCACGGCUAACUACGUGCCAGCAGCCGCGGUAAUACGUAGGUGGCAAGCGUUAUCCGGAAUUAUUGGGCGUAAAGCGCGCGUAGGCGGUUUUUUAAGUCUGAUGUGAAAGCCCACGGCUCAACCGUGGAGGGUCAUUGGAAACUGGAAAACUUGAGUGCAGAAGAGGAAAGUGGAAUUCCAUGUGUAGCGGUGAAAUGCGCAGAGAUAUGGAGGAACACCAGUGGCGAAGGCGACUUUCUGGUCUGUAACUGACGCUGAUGUGCGAAAGCGUGGGGAUCAAACAGGAUUAGAUACCCUGGUAGUCCACGCCGUAAACGAUGAGUGCUAAGUGUUAGGGGGUUUCCGCCCCUUAGUGCUGCAGCUAACGCAUUAAGCACUCCGCCUGGGGAGUACGACCGCAAGGUUGAAACUCAAAGGAAUUGACGGGGACCCGCACAAGCGGUGGAGCAUGUGGUUUAAUUCGAAGCAACGCGAAGAACCUUACCAAAUCUUGACAUCCUUUGACAACUCUAGAGAUAGAGCCUUCCCCUUCGGGGGACAAAGUGACAGGUGGUGCAUGGUUGUCGUCAGCUCGUGUCGUGAGAUGUUGGGUUAAGUCCCGCAACGAGCGCAACCCUUAAGCUUAGUUGCCAUCAUUAAGUUGGGCACUCUAAGUUGACUGCCGGUGACAAACCGGAGGAAGGUGGGGAUGACGUCAAAUCAUCAUGCCCCUUAUGAUUUGGGCUACACACGUGCUACAAUGGACAAUACAAAGGGCAGCGAAACCGCGAGGUCAAGCAAAUCCCAUAAAGUUGUUCUCAGUUCGGAUUGUAGUCUGCAACUCGACUACAUGAAGCUGGAAUCGCUAGUAAUCGUAGAUCAGCAUGCUACGGUGAAUACGUUCCCGGGUCU
RNAcentral lists this ribosomal RNA (1372 nucleotides) under uncultured bacterium. RNAcentral describes it as "bacterial SSU rRNA". It matches the Rfam family "Bacterial small subunit ribosomal RNA", at positions 28 to 1381 of the family's 1533-position model. The record is from RNAcentral.